CAGAAUAGAGCAUGAAUAAAUGCACCCCACUUACAAUGGGGGUAUAGAUAUUACAUCUUAUCCUGA
RNAcentral lists this transfer RNA (66 nucleotides) under Nereis zonata. RNAcentral describes it as "tRNA-Val". The record is from RNAcentral. Lineage: Eukaryota; Metazoa; Annelida; Polychaeta; Phyllodocida; Nereididae.